ACGUAGUUAGCCGUGGCUUUCUGAUUAGGUACCGUCAAGAUGUGCACAGUUACUUACACAUUUGUUCUUCCCUAAUAACAGAGUUUUACGAGCCGAAACCCUUCAUCACUCACGCGGCGUUGCUCCGUCAGGCUUUCGCCCAUUGCGGAAGAUUCCCUACUGCUGCCUCCCGUAGGAGUCUGGACCGUGUCUCAGUUCCAGUGUGGCCGAUCACCCUCUCAGGUCGGCUACGUAUCGUCGCCUUGGUAAGCCGUUACCUUACCAACUAGCUAAUACGGCGCGGGUCCAUCUAUAAGUGAUAGCAAAACCAUCUUUCACUUUAGAACCAUGCGGUUCUAAAUGUUAUCCGGUAUUAGCUCCGGUUUCCCGAAGUUAUCCCAGUCUUAUAGGUAGGUUACCCACGUGUUACUCACCCGUCCGCCGCUAACUUCAAAGGAGCAAGCUCCUUAUCUGUUCGCUCGACUUGCAUGUAUUAGGCACGCCGCCAGCGUUCAUCCUGAGCCAGGAUCAAACUCU
RNAcentral lists this ribosomal RNA (516 nucleotides) under uncultured Staphylococcus sp. RNAcentral's name for it is "partial 16S ribosomal RNA". The record is from RNAcentral. Lineage: Bacteria; Bacillati; Bacillota; Bacilli; Caryophanales; Staphylococcaceae.